AUUGAACGCUGGCGGCAGGCCUAACACAUGCAAGUCGAGCGGAAGAAGGGAGCUUGCUCCUGGAUUCAGCGGCGGACGGGGGAGUAAUGCCUAGGAAUCUGCCUGGUAGUGGGGGAUAACGUCCGGAAACGGGCGCUAAUACCGCAUACGUCCUGAGGGAGAAAGUGGGGGAGCUUCGGACCUCACGCUAUCAGAUGAGCCUAGGUCGGAUUAGCUAGUUGGUGGGGUAAAGGCCUACCAAGGCGACGAUCCGUAACUGGUCUGAGAGGAUGAUCAGUCACACUGGAACUGAGACACGGUCCAGACUCCUACGGGAGGCAGCAGUGGGGAAUGUUGGACAAUGGUCGGAAGCCUGAUCCAGCCAUGCCGCGUGUGUGAAGAAGGUCUUCGGAUUGUAAAGAACUUUAAGUUGGGAGGAAGGGCAGUAAGUUAAUACCUUGCUGUUUUGACGUUACCAACAGAAUAAGCACCGGCUAACUUCGUG
Molecule: ribosomal RNA, 484 nt
Filed under: uncultured bacterium
Lineage: Bacteria
Description: partial 16S ribosomal RNA
Rfam family: Bacterial small subunit ribosomal RNA
Source: RNAcentral